This 468-nucleotide ribosomal RNA is filed under the name uncultured bacterium. Its description in RNAcentral is "partial 16S ribosomal RNA". It matches the Rfam family "Bacterial small subunit ribosomal RNA", at positions 28 to 507 of the family's 1533-position model. The record is from RNAcentral.
GACGAACGCUGGCGGCGUGCUUAACACAUGCAAGUCGAACGGAAAGGCCCGGCUUUUGUGGGGGGCUCGAGUGGCGAACGGGUGAGUAAAACGUGAGUAACCUGCCCUUGACUUUGGGAUAACUUCAGGAAACUGGGGCUAUUACCGGAUAGGAGCCCCUGCUGCAUGGGGGGGGUUGGAAAGUUUCGGCGGUUGGGGAUGGACUCGCGGCUUAUCAGCUUGUUGGUGGGGUAGUGGCUUACCAAGGCUUUGACGGGUAGCCGGCCUGAGAGGGUGACCGGCCACAUUGGGACUGAGAUACGGCCCAGACUCCUACGGGAGGCAGCAGUGGGGAAUAUUGCACAAUGGGCGGAAGCCUGAUGCAGCAACGCCGCGUGCGGGAUGACGGCCUUCGGGUUGUAAACCGCUUUCGCCUGUGACGAAGCGUGAGUGACGGUAAUGGGUAAAGAAGCACCGGCUAACUACGUG